UUAAGCGACUAAGCGUACACGGUGGAUGCCCUGGCAGUCAGAGGCGAUGAAGGACGUGCUAAUCUGCGAUAAGCGUCGGUAAGGUGAUAUGAACCGUUAUAACCGGCGAUUUCCGAAUGGGGAAACCCAGUGUGAUUCGUCACACUAUCAUUAACUGAAUCCAUAGGUUAAUGAGGCGAACCGGGGGAACUGAAACAUCUAAGUACCCCGAGGAAAAGAAAUCAACCGAGAUUCCCCCAGUAGCGGCGAGCGAACGGGGAGGAGCCCAGAGCCUGAAUCAGUGUGUGUGUUAGUGGAAGCGUCUGGAAAGGCGCGCGAUACAGGGUGACAGCCCCGUACACAAAAAUGCACAUGCUGUGAGCUCGAUGAGUAGGGCGGGACACGUGGUAUCCUGUCUGAAUAUGGGGGGACCAUCCUCCAAGGCUAAAUACUCCUGACUGACCGAUAGUGAACCAGUACCGUGAGGGAAAGGCGAAAAGAACCCCGGCGAGGGGAGUGAAAAAGAACCUGAAACCGUGUACGUACAAGCAGUGGGAGCACAGAGCAAUCUGUGUGACUGCGUACCUUUUGUAUAAUGGGUCAGCGACUUAUAUUCUGUAGCAAGGUUAACCGAAUAGGGGAGCCGAAGGGAAACCGAGUCUUAACCGGGCGUUAAGUUGCAGGGUAUAGACCCGAAACCCGGUGAUCUAGCCAUGGGCAGGUUGAAGGUUGGGUAACACUAACUGGAGGACCGAACCGACUAAUGUUGAAAAAUUAGCGGAUGACUUGUGGCUGGGGGUGAAAGGCCAAUCAAACCGGGAGAUAGCUGGUUCUCCCCGAAAGCUAUUUAGGUAGCGCCUCGUGAAUUCAUCUCCGGGGGUAGAGCACUGUUUCGGCAAGGGGGUCAUCCCGACUUACCAACCCGAUGCAAACUGCGAAUACCGGAGAAUGUUAUCACGGGAGACACACGGCGGGUGCUAACGUCCGUCGUGAAGAGGGAAACAACCCAGACCGCCAGCUAAGGUCCCAAAGUCAUGGUUAAGUGGGAAACGAUGUGGGAAGGCCCAGACAGCCAGGAUGUUGGCUUAGAAGCAGCCAUCAUUUAAAGAAAGCGUAAUAGCUCACUGGUCGAGUCGGCCUGCGCGGAAGAUGUAACGGGGCUAAACCAUGCACCGAAGCUGCGGCAGCGACACUGUGUGUUGUUGGGUAGGGGAGCGUUCUGUAAGCCUGUGAAGGUGU
RNAcentral lists this ribosomal RNA (1218 nucleotides) under Escherichia coli TW09195. RNAcentral describes it as "bacterial LSU rRNA". It matches the Rfam family "Bacterial large subunit ribosomal RNA", at positions 1 to 1259 of the family's 2925-position model. Lineage: Bacteria; Pseudomonadati; Pseudomonadota; Gammaproteobacteria; Enterobacterales; Enterobacteriaceae. The record is from RNAcentral.